CGCGUAGACAACCUGCCUUCUAGAUGGGGACAACGUUCCGAAAGGGACGCUAAUACCGAAUGUCCUGUCAAGUCCGCAUGGACUGGACAGCAAAGAUGGCCUCUGCAUAUGCUAUCGCUAGAAGAUGGGUCUGCGUCUGAUUAGCUGGCUGGUGAGGUAACGGCUCACCAAGGCGACGAUCAGUAGCCGGUCUGAGAGGAUGAACGGCCACACUGGGACUGAGACACGGCCCAGACUCCUACGGGAGGCAGCAGUGGGGAAUCUUCCGCAAUGGACGAAAGUCUGACGGAGCAACGCCGCGUGAGUGAAGAAGGUUUUCGGACCGUAAAACUCUGUCUUUUAGGGCGAACGUAUUGCUGGUGAACAAUCAGCGAUAGUGACGGUACUAAAGGAGGAAGCCACGGCUAACUACGUGCCAGCAGCCGCGGUAAUACGUAGGUGGCGAGCGUUGUCCGGAAUUAUUGGGCGUAAAGCGCGCGUAGGCGGGAUAGUCAGUCUGUUGUAAAAGUGCGGGGCUCAACCCCGUAAGGUCAAUGGAAACUGCUAUUCUUGAGUGCAGGAGAGGAAAGUGGAAUUCCCAGUGUAGCGGUGAAAUGCGUAGAUAUUGGGAGGAACACCAGUGGCGAAGGCGACUUUCUGGACUGU
RNAcentral lists this ribosomal RNA (645 nucleotides) under uncultured bacterium. Its description in RNAcentral is "bacterial SSU rRNA". It matches the Rfam family "Bacterial small subunit ribosomal RNA", at positions 114 to 737 of the family's 1533-position model. The record is from RNAcentral.